AAACUGAUGCUGUGAUGUGUAAAUUCAAUUAUCAUAUCACAGCCAGCUUUGAUGAG
This 56-nucleotide microRNA precursor is filed under the name Parasteatoda tepidariorum (common house spider). RNAcentral's name for it is "microRNA pte-mir-2g precursor (pte-mir-2g-1)". Its record names the gene pte-mir-2g-1. Lineage: Eukaryota; Metazoa; Arthropoda; Arachnida; Araneae; Theridiidae. The record is from miRBase by way of RNAcentral.